AAUAGAUACCCGGGUAGUCCACGCCGUAAACGAUGAGUGCUAAGUGUUAGAGGGUUUCCGCCCUUUAGUGCUGCAGCUAACGCAUUAAGCACUCCGCCUGGGGAGUACGGCCGCAAGGCUGAAACUCAAAGGAAUUGACGGGGGGCCCGCACAAGCGGUGGAGCAUGUGGUUUAAUUCGAAGCAACGCGAAGAACCUUACCAGGUCUUGACAUCUCCUGACAAUCCUAGAGAUAGGACGUUCCCCUUCGGGGGGACAGGAUGACAGGUGGUGCAUGGUUGUCGUCAGCUCGUGUCGUGAGAUGUUGGGUUAAGUCCCGCAACGAGCGCAACCCUUGAUCUUAGUUGCCAGCAUUCAGUUGGGCACUCUAAGGUGACUGCCGGUGACAAACCGGAGGAAGGUGGGGAUGACGUCAAAUCAUCAUGCCCCUUAUGACCUGGGCUACACACGUGCUACAAUGGAUGGUACAAAGGGCUGCAAAACCGCGAGGUUAAGCCAAUCCCAUAAAACCAUUCUCAGUUCGGAUUGCAGGCUG
Molecule: ribosomal RNA, 534 nt
Filed under: uncultured bacterium
Lineage: Bacteria
Description: bacterial SSU rRNA
Rfam family: Bacterial small subunit ribosomal RNA
Source: RNAcentral